This is a non-coding RNA of Paramuricea clavata, 363 nucleotides long. The record is from the annotation of a GenBank genome assembly. NCBI's taxonomy places the organism in Eukaryota, Metazoa, Cnidaria, Anthozoa, Malacalcyonacea, Plexauridae.
CCUAAAUUUCAUAAUUUUCCGGGCCCUCCUAGACGGUCUCACGCCUUCGGCGUGAGGUUCGCCCCCGCAAAAUUAAGGUUUGGCUACGCCACUGGUUAUAGCUGUACGAUUAUAGCUACAAAGAGUUGAAGUUAUUGUUUAAAGUAAAAUAUAGCUGAAGUUAAUAAAUUAAAGUUUUACAAAAUCUCUCUUCAGACUCGCGCCAGUCGCGCGUUCGCCAAACCUCGACGGCUCAUAUUUUUCGUUCUGCCUUUUUUUCCUGUUUUGCCCCCCCCCCCCAGUGAAAAUUCCUUAAAAAAGGCACUGAAUUUAUGAACGAAAUUUGAUGUUCAGCAAAAUAAUCUGACCAUAAUUUCACGCCAG